GGCGGAUGUAGCCAAGUGGAUCAAGGCAGUGGGCUGUGAAUCCACCAUGCGCGGGUUCAAUUCCCGUCGUUCGCC
RNAcentral lists this transfer RNA (75 nucleotides) under Geosiris australiensis. RNAcentral's name for it is "tRNA-His". It matches the Rfam family "tRNA". From Rfam's summary of the family: Transfer RNA (tRNA) molecules are approximately 80 nucleotides in length. Their secondary structure includes four short double-helical elements and three loops (D, anti-codon, and T loops). The record is from RNAcentral. Lineage: Eukaryota; Viridiplantae; Streptophyta; Magnoliopsida; Asparagales; Iridaceae.